This 285-nucleotide unclassified non-coding RNA is filed under the name plant metagenome. RNAcentral describes it as "partial contains small subunit ribosomal RNA and internal transcribed spacer 1". The stretch from base 1 to 54 matches the Rfam family "Eukaryotic small subunit ribosomal RNA", at positions 1778 to 1831 of the family's 1831-position model. The record is from RNAcentral.
GGAAGUAAAAGUCGUAACAAGAUUUCCGUAGGUGAACCUGCGGAAGGAUCAUUAUUGUAUAACCGAGGUGCGAGGGCUGUCGCUGACCCGAAAGGUCGUGCACGCCCGAGUGCCCUCACACACAUCCAUCUCACCCCUAUGUGCACCACCGCGUGGGUCCCCCUUUGGCUUGUUCGGAGGGGGGCUUACGUUUUCACACAAACUUUGUAUGCAGUGUAGAAUGUAUUUUUUGUUUUUGCGAUCACGCAAUCAAUACAACUUUCAACAACGGAUCUCUUGGUUUCC